This 3739-nucleotide long non-coding RNA is filed under the name Canis lupus familiaris (dog). RNAcentral's name for it is "lncRNA (ENSCAFG00000058208.1)". Lineage: Eukaryota; Metazoa; Chordata; Mammalia; Carnivora; Canidae. The record is from RNAcentral.
AAAUAUGUCCCAAAUGAAAGAACAAGACAAAAAUUAAAAAAAACCCACAAAAAACAAAAACCGAAAACGAAACCCCAAAUGGCAAGCAAAAUGGAGAUAAGCAAUCUGCCAGAUAAAGUUCAAAGUAAUGGUCAUAAAAAUGCUCACUGAACUAGGGAGAGGAAUAGUUGAACACAGUGAGAACUUCAAUAAAGAGACUGAAAAUAUAAAAAAGAACCAGUCAGUGCUAAAGAAUACAAUAACUGAAAUGAAAACACACCAGAGAUUCAAUAACAGAUUAGAUGAUGCAGAAGAAUGAGCAGCAAUAUAGAAGACAGGGCAGGGAUCCCUGGGUGGCGCAGCGGUUUGGUGCCUGCCUUUGGCCCAGGGCGCGAUCCUGGAGACCCGGGAUCGAAUCCCACGUCGGGCUCCCGGUGCAUGGAGCCUGCUUCUCCCUCUGCCUGUGUCUCUGCCUCUCUCUCUUUCUCUCUCUGUGACUAUCAUAAAUAAAUAAAAAAAAUAAAUAAAUAAAAAAUAAAACAAUGCUCAUAUUAAAAAAAAAAAAAAAAGAAGACAGGGCAGUGGAAAUCAUCCAAUCAGAGCAUCAAAUAUAAAAAGAAUAAAGAAUGAGGAUAGUUUAAUGGACCACUGAGUACUAACAUUCAUUAUAGGAGUCCCAAGGAGAAAAAACAAAGAAAGGGAAAGCAAACCUAUCUAUAGAAAUAAUGACUGAAAAGUUCCCUAGCCUAGUAAAGGAAACAGACAUCUAGGUGCAGGAAGCAUGGAGAGUUCCCAAUAGGACGAACCCAAAGUGAACCACACUAAGACACAUUAUAAUCGAAGUGUCAACAGUUAAAAAUUAAGAAUCCUAAAAACAGCAAGAGAAAAACCACUAGUUAUGGACAAGGGAACACCUGAAGAUAACUAGCUGAUUUUUUAGCAGAAACUUUACAAGCCAGAAGAGAGUGGCACAACAAGAAUGCUGAAAAAGAAACAACUUACAACCAAAAAUACUCUAUCCAGCAAGGAUAUCACUCAGAAUAGAAGGAGAGAUAAGGAGUUUCCCAGGCAAGCAAAACCUAAAGGAGUUCAAACUGGUCUUACAAGAAAUGUUAAAGGGACAUUUCAUUAAAUGGUAAAGAAAAGGCCAUUACUAGAAAUUUCAAAAUAAUGAAAGAAAACAUUGCACUGGUAAAGGUAAGCAUACAGUAAAGGUAGUAGACCAACAACAUAUAUGCUAGUGUGAAGGAUAAAAGAUAGAAGUAGUAUAUUAUCUUGAUCUACAAAAAUUAGUCAAGGAAUUCUCAAAAUAAUAUGUAAAAUAUGUCAAAAACAUAAAACACGGCAGAGAGUAAAAAUGUAGUGCUUUUAGAACAGGUUUGGGACGCCUGGGUGGCUCAGAGGUUGAGCGUCGGCCUUUGGCUAAGGGCGUGAUCCUAGUCCCAGAUCGAGUCCCGCAUCGGGCUCCCUGUGAGGAACCUGCUUCUCUCUCUGCCUGUCUCUCUCUCUCUCUCUGUGUCUCUCAUGAAUAAAUAAAUAAAAUCUUUAAAAAAAAUAAAAUAAAACAGAGAAAUUUAUUAAAAAAAAAAAAGAACAGGUUUGAACUUAAGCCACCAACAACUUAAAAAGGACUGCUAUACGCAUAGUUUAUUACAUAUGAACCUAUGGUAACUACAAACCAAAUACUUAUAAUAGAAGAGACAGGAACACAAAUAUAUCACCAAGGAAUGUCACCAACUUGCAGGGGAAGAGAGCAGUAAUAGAGAAGAACAAAGAACUACAAAACAACCAAAAAACAACAAAAUGACAAUAAGUAGGUAUUCAUCAAUAAUUACUUUAAAUGUAAAUAGACUAAAUGCUCCAAUCAAAAGACAUAGGGUGGCUAAAUGGAUACAAAAAACAAGACAAAUAUAUAUAUUGCCUACAAGACACUCACUUCAGCACAUACAAAGACUGAAAGUAAAGGAAUGGAAAAAGAUGAAAGCUGUGGUAGCAAUUCUUAUACUAAACAAAAUAGACUUUAAACCAGAGACUGCAACCAGAGACAAAGAAGGGCAUUAAUAACGAUCAAGAGAUUAUUCAACAAGAGGAUAUAACUCUUGUAAAUAUCUAUGCACAUAACAUAGGGACACCUAAAUACAUAAUGCAAAUAUUAACAGACAUAGAGGGAUAAAAUUACAGCAAUACAAUAAUAGCAGGGGAUUAUAAAACCCCACUUACUUCAAGGGAUAGAUUAUCCAGAUAGAAAAUCAACACAGAAAUAUUGCUUUAUAUAACACAUUAGACCAGAUGGAUUUAAUAGAUACAUGAAGAGCGUUCCUUCCUAAACCAGCAGAAUACACAUUCUUUUCAAGUGCAUACAGAACAUUCUCUGGGAUAGAGCACAUGUUAGGCCACAAGAUAAGUCUUAAUACACUUAAGAAGACUGAAAACUCAUUACACAUCUUUUCCUACCACAACUGUAUAAAAGCAGAAAUCAAUUAGAAGAAAAGGGGAAAAAACACAAAGUCCUGGAGGCACCUGGGUGGCUCAGUUGGUUAAGCAUCUAACCCUUGAUUUCGGUUCAGGUCAUAAUCUAAUGGGUCAUUAGACAGACCCCAUGACAGUCUCUGUGCUCAGUGAAGAGUCCGCUUGAGAUUUUUCCCCUUUGUCCUUCCUUACCCCAAUUCAAGCAUGCAUGCACGAGCACUCUCUCUCUCUUAAAUAAAUAAAUAAAUCAACACACACACACACACACACACACACACACACACACACACACACAACAAAUGGGUGCCUGGGUGGCUCAGGCAGUUAAGCUUCUGCCUUUGGUUCAGGUCAUGAUCCCAGAGUCCUGGGAUCAAGCCCCAAGCUGGGCUCCCUGCUCAGCCGGUAGACUGCUUCUCCCUCUCCCCACUCGCCACCCCGCCCCCACCCCGCUUGUAUGCUCUCUCUCUUUCUUUCUCUCAAAUAAAUAAAUAAAAUCUUUAAAAAAAAAUCAACCAACAAAAAACAAAACAAAACAAAACAAAAAAACCAAACAAACAAAAAACCCAACCACAAACUCCUGAAGGCUAAAGAACAAUGAGUCAAUGAAGAAAUCAAAGAGGGAAAUAAAAAAGAUACCUUGAUACGAAUGAAAAUGGAACCACAACAACCAAAACUUAUGAUAACAUAACAAAAGCAAUUAUAAGAGGCAAGUUCAUAGUGAUACAGGCCUAGCUCAAGAAACAAUAAAAUUCCCAAAUGAACAAUCUAACUUUAUACCUAAAGAAACUAGAAAGAGAGGAACAAAACCCAAAGUUAGUAGUAGGAAGGAAAUAAUAAAGACUAGAGAAGAAAUAAAUGAAACAGAUUAAAAAAUAUAUAAAGAAAUCAAUGAAAUUAAGAGCUAAUUAAAAAAAAAAAGAAUGUAUCUUUAGUCAGACUCAUUAAGAAAAGAGGGCCCAAAUAAAUAAAAUCAGAAAUGAAAGAGAAGUAGAACAGAUACCAGAGAAAUACAAAGGAUCAUAAGAGACUUCCACAAAAAUUAUAUGUCAGUGAAUGAAGCAACCUAGAAGAAAUGGAUAAAUUCCGAGAAACACACAACCUUCCAAGACUGAAUUACAGUGAAAUAGAAAAUCUGAACAGAUUGGUUACUAGUAGUAAAAUUGAAUUAGGAAUCAAAAAAAUCCCAACAAACAAAAGUCUGAGCACAAAAUUCACAGGUGAAUUUUGCCCAACAUUUAAAGAAGAGUUAAUACCUAUUCUCAAAUUAUUCAAAAAAAAAAAAAAAAAAAAA